Rana temporaria (common frog) is the source of this 118-nucleotide small nuclear RNA. RefSeq annotates it as U5 spliceosomal RNA. Lineage: Eukaryota; Metazoa; Chordata; Amphibia; Anura; Ranidae. The record is from RefSeq and is a predicted model, not a curated record. The transcript has a single exon.
AUACUCUGGUUUCUCUUCAGAUCGAUUAAAUCUUUCGCCUUUUACUAAAGAUUUCCAUGGAGAGGAACAACAUGAGUUUCAAUGGUUUUAUCUAUGUUAUUUUAACAAAUUUUGUAAU